CCUACGUGGGGCUGCAGUGGGGAAUAUUGCACAAUGGGGGAAACCCUGAUGCAGCGACGCCGCGUGAGUGAAGAAGUAUUUCGGUAUGUUAAGCUCUAUCAGCAGGGAAGAAAAUGACGGUACCUGACUAAGAAGCCCCGGCUAACUACGUGCCAGCAGCCGCGGUAAUACGUAGGGGGCAAGCGUUAUCCGGAUUUACUGGGUGUAAAGGGAGCGUAGACGGCCAGACAAGUCAGAAGUGAAAGCCGAGGGCUCAACCCUGGGACUGCUUUUGAAACUGCCGGGCUGGAGUGCAGGAGAGGUAAGCGGAAUUCGUAGUGUAGCGGUGAAAUGCGUAGAUAUUAGGAGGAACACCGGUGGCGAAGGCGGCUUACUGGACUGUAACUGACGUUGAGGCUCGAAAGCGUGGGGAGCAAACAGGAUUAGAUACCCGAGUAGUC
Molecule: ribosomal RNA, 440 nt
Filed under: uncultured bacterium
Lineage: Bacteria
Description: partial 16S ribosomal RNA
Rfam family: Bacterial small subunit ribosomal RNA
Source: RNAcentral